Molecule: ribosomal RNA, 804 nt
Filed under: uncultured bacterium
Lineage: Bacteria
Description: bacterial SSU rRNA
Rfam family: Bacterial small subunit ribosomal RNA
Source: RNAcentral
UCGCCCUUAGAGUUUGAUCCUGGCUCAGGACGAACGCUGGCGGCGUGCCUAACACAUGCAAGUCGGACGGAGGUUGCGAGGAAGCUUGCGAAUUGCGACCUUAGUGGCGGACGGGUGAGUAACGCGUGGAUAACCUGCCUGACAGACCGGGACAACACCGGGAAACUGGUGCUAAUACCGGAUACGCUCAUAAGUACGCAUGUACAAAUGAGGGAAGGGGAAACCCGCUGACAGAUGGGUCCGCGUCCCAUUAGCUAGUUGGAGGUGUAAAGGACCCCCAAGGCGACGAUGGGUAGCCGGCCUGAGAGGGUGGACGGCCACACUGGAACUGAGACACGGUCCAGACUCCUACGGGAGGCAGCAGUGGGGAAUCUUCCGCAAUGGGCGCAAGCCUGACGGAGCAACGCCGCGUGAGUGAUGAAGGCUUUCGGGUUGUAAAACUCUGUCUUCAGGGAAGAAACAAAUGACGGUACCUGAGGAGGAAGCCCCGGCUAACUACGUGCCAGCAGCCGCGGUAAAACGUAGGGGGCGAGCGUUGUCCGGAAUUACUGGGCGUAAAGGGCGCGUAGGCGGUUUUUCAAGUCAGGGGUGAAAACUCUGGGCUCAACUCAGAGCCUGCCUCUGAAACUGGAAGACUUGAGGGCAGGAGAGGGGAGUGGAAUUCCCAGUGUAGCGGUGAAAUGCGUAGAUAUUGGGAGGAACACCAGUGGCGAAGGCGACUCUCUGGCCUAACCCUGACGCUGAGGCGCGAAAGCGUGGGGAGCAAACGGGAUUAGAUACCCCGGUAGUCCACGCCGUAAACGA